Triticum aestivum (bread wheat) is the source of this 1851-nucleotide RNA transcript. RefSeq lists it as uncharacterized. The transcript has 3 exons. The record is from RefSeq and is a predicted model, not a curated record. Lineage: Eukaryota; Viridiplantae; Streptophyta; Magnoliopsida; Poales; Poaceae.
UCCUCACUCUGACUCUGGUCUCCCGUGCUCUGCUCACCAAUCCAACCCACCAAAAUAGAGCUUGCUUCUCACCACCGGCGGCGGGAUGGGCGGCGGCGCGGCGGACGAGGGCCAGACCAGCGAGGACCCUCGCGUAGAUCCGGGCAUCCUCGACCAACGGCGCCGUUCCUCUCCUCGUCUGCUGCCGUCGCGAGAUGGCUUCCAGGAAAUGGCCUCGCUGCCGAUCCCCGACGAGCUCGUGGCGGAGAUCUUCCUCCGGCUGCCCACGCCAGGCGACGUCAUCCGCACCUCUGGCGCCUGCGUCUCCUUCCGUCGCCUCGUCGCCGGCCGCCCCUUCCUCCGGCGCUUCCGCAAGCUCCACGACCCUCCCCUCCUCGGCUUCCUCGCUCUAACCGGAGCCUUCUUCCCCGUACUCCCGCCUUCUCCUUCCGCGUCGGCAGCCAGCGCCGUCGCCCUCGCCGCCGACUUCUCCUUCUCCUUCCUACCCGGCCCCGCUCGGGACUGGAAGGUCCGGGACGCCCGCGGCGGCCGCGUCCUCCUCAGCAGAUCUCCCUUGGAUAAUUCUCUGGCGGUGUGCGACCCCUUGCACCGGCGGUACCGCCUGCUUCCCCUGAUCCCUGAAGUUGAGGGGUGGGUUCCUCAUUCAGUGGAAAACCCAUACCGGCAGUCCUUCCUCGGCGACGCGGAGGAGACCGCAGAAGAGACAUCAUUCACAGUGAUCUCCAUCGCGCAUUGGGGGGAUAAAGAUAAGCAGGGCGCUUUCGUCUUCUCUUCCAGCACCGGACAAUGGCGAGGCACUCCAUGGAUUGCAGGCUUUGCUUCAUUCUUCUGGUACCGGCACGCAUAUGGCUGCUUCUACGGGGUGACAGCAUGCAGGGAGAAGUUGCUGGUGCUUGACACCCAGAAAAUGGAGUUCUCACUUGCUGACCUCCCACCCCAAGCUUCAGGACAAAAUGUGGGUAUAGCCAUUGUGGAGGCAGGGGAAGGCAUCACUGGGAUGUUUGUGCUUGCACAUGGCACAUCUCAUAUCAGUUAUCUAAUUAGGCGAAACAAUGGUGGCAGUUCCAGCCAGUGGCAGUUUGAGAGGACAAUUCCACUGGUCUCUUCUUGGUACAGUUUCAUGGGUUCAACAGAGAGGCACUUGCUUCUUGUAUCACAGGGAGACACUUUCACGUUGGACAUCAAAACAUUCCAACUUGAGAAGGUGGUCAGACGUGGCAUCAGUUCGCCAUGUGUAUAUAGAAACUUCCCACCAUCGUUGUUGUCGUCACCGACAAUAUCAAAUGGUGUUGACACCGAGGAUGAUGAGGUGCUGGAAAAACGCCGCGUUGCAAGCUCAAGCCCAUAUUCUCCAGGGUUUGAAUAGCCCUGACACCAGUGCUGGAGGUCAGGGCUGAUUCGUCGAUUAUCAAGAUGGUGACGACCGAUGUGAUGCAAGUCGACAGUUAACCACUAAAUUGGUCUGCUUUUGCCCUUUGUUGAUUGAGCUAAUUCAGAGGCCAGUUCUAGUCCAAUGCCUUCAGUACCUUACUUCAGGGCGGGAAUGUGCUUUCCUGUUUCAGGAUUGCAGUGCGCUCUCCUUUCAGAGAGGAAAAAGAAAACAAUAUCCAAAUGAGGAAACUGCUUUAGAUGUCAGGAUAUCAGAACAGGGUGAAACUGCAGGUGCAGGAUGUAUUACCAACUUCAUGUCCUGGAAUGAAGUUGGUCUUGUUUGAGUCAGCUGGCCAGAAAAUACAUAGCCAGACAAGUAGGAAGCAGCCAGCCAGCAACAUACCAAGCUGGUCUGAGUGCAUUCUUUUCUCAGAAAGAACUUUUUUUUAUCUUUGUGCUCAUGGUUAGAUUGUUCAGCGG